Molecule: transfer RNA, 85 nt
Filed under: Felis catus (domestic cat)
Lineage: Eukaryota; Metazoa; Chordata; Mammalia; Carnivora; Felidae
Also listed under: 2 other names
Rfam family: tRNA
About the family: Transfer RNA (tRNA) molecules are approximately 80 nucleotides in length. Their secondary structure includes four short double-helical elements and three loops (D, anti-codon, and T loops).
Source: Rfam by way of RNAcentral
GCCUGGGUGGCUCAGCUGGUCAAGCGUCUGACUUUAGCUCAGGUCACGAUCUCGUGGUUCAUGAGUUCGAGCCCCACUUCAGGCU